GCGCCCGUAGCUCAGCUGGAUAGAGUAGCGCCCUUCUAAGGCGUUUGUCGAGGGUUCGAAUCCCCCCGGGCGUGCCA
RNAcentral lists this transfer RNA (77 nucleotides) under Clostridiales bacterium. RNAcentral's name for it is "tRNA-Arg". It matches the Rfam family "tRNA". Rfam says of the family: Transfer RNA (tRNA) molecules are approximately 80 nucleotides in length. RNAcentral also lists the same sequence under 1 other name. The record is from RNAcentral. Lineage: Bacteria; Bacillati; Bacillota; Clostridia; Eubacteriales.